UACAGGGGGUGCAAACGUUGCUCGGAAUUACUGGGCGUAAAGCGCACGUAGGCGGAUACUUAAGUCAGGGGUGAAAUCCCGGGGCUCAACCCCGGAACUGCCUUUGAUACUGGGUAUCUCGAGUCCGGAAGAGGUGAGUGGAAUUCCGAGUGUAGAGGUGAAAUUCGUAGAUAUUCGGAGGAACACCAGUGGCGAAGGCGGCUCACUGGUCCGGUACUGACGCUGAGGUGCGAAAGCGUGGGGAGCAAACAGG
Molecule: ribosomal RNA, 253 nt
Filed under: uncultured bacterium
Lineage: Bacteria
Description: partial 16S ribosomal RNA
Rfam family: Bacterial small subunit ribosomal RNA
Source: RNAcentral